This 203-nucleotide long non-coding RNA is filed under the name Capra hircus (goat). RNAcentral describes it as "lncRNA (ENSCHIG00010002292.1)". The record is from RNAcentral. Lineage: Eukaryota; Metazoa; Chordata; Mammalia; Artiodactyla; Bovidae.
GUGCCGCUCCAGGCCCCCAGGGCUUCCCAGCGCAUUCUAGCUGGAGCCACAGUGACUCCUGGGACGCACCUGCCAGCUGCAGAUUCCAGCUGUGCUAUUUGCCUUCCAGGGACAUUCCGACUCAACCCACCCUAGGUGACCACCACCACGAUGUAAGCUGCCAUGCUGUGAAAGGUCCUGUGAAGAAGGGCAUCAAAAUGUGA